Non-coding RNA from Daucus carota subsp. sativus, 94 nucleotides. Lineage: Eukaryota; Viridiplantae; Streptophyta; Magnoliopsida; Apiales; Apiaceae. The record is from Rfam.
GGACACUGAUGAUUGUGAUUGGUCUCGUUCGUCAUAACGGUGAAUUUUCACCUUGCCGACCAUCCUGUUAUAUCACCACCCAUAAACUGAGUCC